RNAcentral lists this small RNA (126 nucleotides) under Acetoanaerobium sticklandii. RNAcentral's name for it is "L10_leader". It matches the Rfam family "Ribosomal protein L10 leader". From Rfam's summary of the family: This family is a putative r-protein leader autoregulatory structure found in B. subtilis and other low-GC Gram-positive bacteria. It is located in the 5' untranslated regions of mRNAs encoding ribosomal proteins L10 and L12 (rplJ-rplL). A Rho-independent transcription terminator structure that is probably involved in regulation is included at the 3' end. The record is from RNAcentral. Lineage: Bacteria; Bacillati; Bacillota; Clostridia; Peptostreptococcales; Filifactoraceae.
UUAAAAAUUAAAUUAUUACCGUAGACAGUAGGUGCUUAUGCUUAAUAUCCUGCCGAGGAUUAUCUUAUUUUUAUAAAAUGAGCCUUUGUAUGUCUAUGGAUAUAUAAAGGCUUUAAUUGUUUUAAA